RNAcentral lists this microRNA precursor (63 nucleotides) under Eptatretus burgeri (inshore hagfish). RNAcentral's name for it is "Ebu-Mir-338-P3_pre stem-loop". The record is from RNAcentral. Lineage: Eukaryota; Metazoa; Chordata; Myxini; Myxiniformes; Myxinidae.
AGCAAAACACAGUAACUGACGAGUCCGCCAUGUCGAUAACUCCAGUGUCUGUGAUUUUGUUCU